This 70-nucleotide unclassified non-coding RNA is filed under the name Saccharomyces cerevisiae (brewer's yeast). The record is from RNAcentral. Lineage: Eukaryota; Fungi; Ascomycota; Saccharomycetes; Saccharomycetales; Saccharomycetaceae.
GUCUACCUAUCGGGCUAAGGAGCCGUAUGCGAUGAAAGUCGCACGUACGGUUCUAUGCCCGGGGGAAAAC